This 225-nucleotide long non-coding RNA is filed under the name Bos taurus (domestic cattle). Its description in RNAcentral is "long non-coding RNA NONBTAT009102". Lineage: Eukaryota; Metazoa; Chordata; Mammalia; Artiodactyla; Bovidae. The record is from RNAcentral.
CUUAGCUCUGAUUCAUAAACAAAACAAAAACCAUAGCCUCUGUCCAGCAACCAGACUCCUGAGAUUCCAUCCUGGGACCAAGAGAGUAUACACUGGCUAAUGUUGAUGGAAAAUAUGUGACUUAAUGUUUCUACAGGCUACAAUUGUAAAUCUGUGAAAGCUAAUUUGUACAUGGACAAUGAGAAGCUUGUGUUGUAGACGAAAGAAAACAUUGCUUUAAUCUUG